UACAGAGGGGGCAAGCGUUGUUCGGAAUUACUGGGCGUAAAGCGAGUGUAGGCGGUCUACUAAGUCGGGUGUGAAAGCCCUGGGCUCAACCCAGGAAGUGCACUCGAAACUGGUGGGCUAGAGUAUCGGAGAGGUUGGUGGAAUUCUCGGUGUAGAGGUGAAAUUCGUAGAUAUCGAGAGGAACACCGGUGGCGAAGGCGGCCAACUGGACGAAUACUGACGCUGAGACUCGAAAGCGUGGGGAGCAAACAGG
RNAcentral lists this ribosomal RNA (253 nucleotides) under uncultured bacterium. RNAcentral's name for it is "partial 16S ribosomal RNA". It matches the Rfam family "Bacterial small subunit ribosomal RNA", at positions 524 to 776 of the family's 1533-position model. The record is from RNAcentral.